Molecule: long non-coding RNA, 201 nt
Filed under: Elaeis guineensis (African oil palm)
Lineage: Eukaryota; Viridiplantae; Streptophyta; Magnoliopsida; Arecales; Arecaceae
Description: long non-coding RNA (EGUI_LNC038894)
Source: RNAcentral
GGAUCGUGGGGUGCUGGGCGGUCCAUGGAGGCCGCAUGGACCAUCACGCAGUCCACGCAUGGUCCAUGGGUAUUUUUGUACGAUUCAGUAGCUCUGGAGCGAGCCAUUCAUGAUCGGAUGGCUAAGGAUGACUUCGGGCAUGAUUAGGCUUGAUCUGAGGCUAUAGUGUGCGAUCGAAUGACUCUAGUGCGACCCAAUCAC